AUUGAACGCUGGCGGCAGGCCUAACACAUGCAAGUCGAACGGUAACAGAAAGCAGCUUGCUGCUUUGCUGACGAGUGGCGGACGGGUGAGUAAUGUCUGGGAAACUGCCUGAUGGAGGGGGAUAACUACUGGAAACGGUAGCUAAUACCGCAUAACGUCGCAAGACCAAAGAGGGGGACCUUCGGGCCUCUUGCCAUCGGAUGUGCCCAGAUGGGAUUAGCUAGUAGGUGGGGUAACGGCUCACCUAGGCGACGAUCCCUAGCUGGGCUGAGAGGAUGACCAGCCACACUGGAACUGAGACACGGUCCAGACUCCUACGGGAGGCAGCAGUGGGGAAUAUUGCACAAUGGGCGCAAGCCUGAUGCAGCCAUGCCGCGUGUAUGCAGAAGGCCUUCGGGUUGUAAAGUACUUUCAGCGAGGAGGAAGGUGUUGUGGUUAAUAACCACAGCAAUUGACGUUACUCGCAGAAGAAGCACCGGCUAACUCCGUGCCAGCCGCCGCUGUAA
This 506-nucleotide ribosomal RNA is filed under the name uncultured bacterium. RNAcentral describes it as "partial 16S ribosomal RNA". It matches the Rfam family "Bacterial small subunit ribosomal RNA", at positions 30 to 523 of the family's 1533-position model. The record is from RNAcentral.